Long non-coding RNA from Sciurus carolinensis (gray squirrel), 808 nucleotides. RefSeq lists it as uncharacterized. The transcript is spliced from 3 exons. Lineage: Eukaryota; Metazoa; Chordata; Mammalia; Rodentia; Sciuridae. The record is from RefSeq and is a predicted model, not a curated record.
UGACUGUCCUUGACGUCACCUAACAGCCUCACCAGCCUCGGUCCACCACUUGUUUUGAAGGGAAAGCUAAGGGACACGUCCGGCUUACAGAGACAGGCAGGAGACGGCAGCCCGCAUGCUCCUGCUGGGCAGUGCGAUGUCCCUGUGGCUGCUCCCACCUGGCUUCCUCCUGCACACUGCCCUUGGCUGCCCUUUGGACCUUCCCUACCACAGGCACUGACUGUGUGAGGGCGGUUCCUGGGACGCUCCUGGGUUUUUCACUGUGGUCACAGCAGCGAUUACCAGAGCACUAGGUGCAGAACACUGAGGGUCAAGACCACUUCAAGCCUGGCUCUCAGAGCACCGUUCACACUGUUCCCUGACUGGAGAUGUCCACAUGAUGGCCACUUGGUCACACUCACAGUUAGCAUGGCAACCACGAGGACCAGGUUGACCAGGCCUGCGUUACCCUGGAUGUGGGGUAGGCAUGGUCCCAGGGCUUGACCACGGCUCACAGGAGACUCUUCUCUGAAUACAUCAGAUGCCCCAAGACCAUUCUGGAACUUUCUUCACUCGUGGCAUUUUCAGACACCUCUCAAUUAUUCUAGAUGACUUCACUCUGCAGACUUUCUGGAGGACUCUGCGCUUCUUCAGUCACUUCAGCUGUCCCCAUUUCAUUCUGCCAGGAGCCCUCCCUCACACAUGACUCAGCUGAGUCCGGUGCAGGACACUGCACAUGCAUACGCUCACACCUUUUGUCUAUAUAAGCAUCCAUCUUCUCAACCUUAUUGAAUCAGUCUUCCCCUUAUGCUGCAAGAAAAGUCCUAAU